This 468-nucleotide ribosomal RNA is filed under the name uncultured bacterium. RNAcentral's name for it is "partial 16S ribosomal RNA". It matches the Rfam family "Bacterial small subunit ribosomal RNA", at positions 28 to 507 of the family's 1533-position model. The record is from RNAcentral.
GACGAACGCUGGCGGCGUGCUUAACACAUGCAAGUCGAACGGAAAGGCCCUGCUUUUGUGGGGUGCUCGAGUGGCGAACGGGUGAGUAACACGUGAGUAACCUGCCCUUGACUUUGGGAUAACUUCAGGAAACUGGGGCUAAUACCGGAUAGGAGCUCCUGCCGCAUGGUGGGGGUUGGAAAGUUUCGGCGGUUGGGGAUGGACUCGCGGCUUAUCAGCUUGUUGGUGGGGUAGUGGCUUACCAAGGCUUUGACAGGUAGCCGGCCUGAGAGGGUGACCGGCCACAUUGGGACUGAGAUACGGCCCAGACUCCUACGGGAGGCAGCAGUGGGGAAUAUUGCACAAUGGGCGGAAGCCUGAUGCAGCAACGCCGCGUGCGGGAUGACGGCCUUCGGGUUGUAAACCGCUUUCGCCUGUGACGAAGCGUGAGUGACGGUAAUGGGUAAAGAAGCACCGGCUAACUACGUG